RNAcentral lists this ribosomal RNA (253 nucleotides) under uncultured bacterium. Its description in RNAcentral is "partial 16S ribosomal RNA". It matches the Rfam family "Bacterial small subunit ribosomal RNA", at positions 524 to 776 of the family's 1533-position model. The record is from RNAcentral.
UACGGAGGGUGCAAGCGUUAUCCGGAUUCACUGGGUUUAAAGGGAGCGUAGGUGGGCUGGUAAGUCAGUGGUGAAAUCCCCGAGCUUAACUUGGGAACUGCCAUUGAUACUAUCAGUCUUGAAUACUGUGGAGGCUAGCGGAAUAUGUCAUGUAGCGGUGAAAUGCUUAGAUAUGACAUAGAACACCAAUUGCGAAGGCAGCUGGCUACACAAAUAUUGACACUGAGGCUCGAAAGCGUGGGGAUCAAACAGG